UACGGGAGGCAGCAGUGGGGAAUAUUGCACAAUGGGCGCAAGCCUGAUGCAGCCAUGCCGCGUGUAUGAAGAAGGCCUUCGGGUUGUAAAGUACUUUCAGUCGUGAGGAAGGUGUUAAGGUUAAUAACCUUAGCAGUUGACGUUAGCGACAGAAGAAGCACCGGCUAACUCCGUGCCAGCAGCCGCGGUAAUACGGAGGGUGCGAGCGUUAAUCGGAAUUACUGGGCGUAAAGGGCACGCAGGCGGUUAAUUAAGUUGGAUGUGAAAUCCCCGGGCUUAACCUGGGAAUGGCAUUCAAGACUGGUUAGCUAGAGUCUUGUAGAGGGGGUAGAAUUCCAUGUGUAGCGGUGAAAUGCGUAGAGAUGUGGAGGAAUACCGGUGGCGAAGGCGGCCCCUGGACAAAGACUGACGCUCAUGUGCGAAAGCGUGGGGAGCAAACAGGGAUUAGAUACC
Molecule: ribosomal RNA, 453 nt
Filed under: uncultured bacterium
Lineage: Bacteria
Description: bacterial SSU rRNA
Rfam family: Bacterial small subunit ribosomal RNA
Source: RNAcentral